AAUAGAUACCCCGGUAGUCCAUGCCGUAAACGUUGGGCGCUAGAUGUGGGGACCAUUCCACGGUUUCCGUGUCGCAGCUAGCGCAUUAAGCGCCCCGCCUGGGGAGUACGGCCGCAAGGCUAAAACUCAAAGGAAUUGACGGGGGCCCGCACAAGCGGCGGAGCAUGCGGAUUAAUUCGAUGCAACGCGAAGAACCUUACCAAGGCUUGACAUAUACGAGAACGCUCUAGAAAUAGAGAACUCUUUGGACACUCGUAUACAGGUGGUGCAUGGUUGUCGUCAGCUCGUGCCGUGAGAUGUUGGGUUAAGUCCCGCAACGAGCGCAACCCUCGUUCUAUGUUGCCAGCGGUUCGGCCGGGAACUCAUAGGAGACUGCCGGGGUCAACUCGGAGGAAGGUGGGGAUGACGUCAAAUCAUCAUGCCCCUUAUGUCUUGGGCUUCACGCAUGCUACAAUGGCCGGUACAAAGGGCUGCAAUACCGUAAGGUGGAGCGAAUCCCAAAAAGCCGGUCUCAGUUCGGAUUGAGGUCUGC
Molecule: ribosomal RNA, 532 nt
Filed under: uncultured bacterium
Lineage: Bacteria
Description: bacterial SSU rRNA
Rfam family: Bacterial small subunit ribosomal RNA
Source: RNAcentral